This 253-nucleotide ribosomal RNA is filed under the name uncultured bacterium. Its description in RNAcentral is "partial 16S ribosomal RNA". It matches the Rfam family "Bacterial small subunit ribosomal RNA", at positions 524 to 776 of the family's 1533-position model. The record is from RNAcentral.
GACGAACCGUCCAAACGUUAUUCGGAAUCACUGGGCUUAAAGGGUGCGUAGGCGGUCCGAUAAGUUGGGUGUGAAAGACCUCGGCUCAACCGAGGAAUUGCGCCCAAAACUGUCGGACUUGAGUAAGGCAGAGGUGAACGGAACUUAGGGUGGAGCGGUGAAAUGCGUUGAUAUCCUAAGGAACACCAGUAGCGAAAGCGGUUCACUGGGCCUUUACUGACGCUGAUGCACGAAAGCCAGGGGAGCGAACGGG